Molecule: long non-coding RNA, 855 nt
Filed under: Setaria viridis
Lineage: Eukaryota; Viridiplantae; Streptophyta; Magnoliopsida; Poales; Poaceae
Description: long non-coding RNA (SVIR_LNC006853)
Source: RNAcentral
CUUUGAUAUUUUACUAAAAGGUUCUUUAGAUGGUUUCCAACAAGUUUUGUAUUCAAGGUUGUAGCUGAAUCAAGGCCUAGGAAGGUGAUAAACUAUAAUUCUCAGAGAGUUUUAUUCUGGUAUUUUCAUAGACAGAGCAGGAAUGAGCAGAUUAUAUCUCUUAAAACAUUGAUCCAAUUCCAUUGAAAUUUCACCACAAUGUUAUAUUCUCAGUGAUUAACAACUUUGGUUUAAGGGGGCCUACCAGAAAAAGUUCUUAUGGGGGUCGAAAAAAUUAAAAUCCCAGCAGGUGUGCAAACUGCUUUUUUUUCCAGCAAAUAGGGGGUUACUAACCUGAACAUAUCUCAAAACCUACUUGGCCAAUUCUUACCAAAUUUUACCAGCAUUUGUUUAAGAGAUUUUACACGACUGUCCUGUAGAGAGUUUCUGGAGCAAACAAAAGUACACAACUCAAAAGAACUCAACGAGACCAAAGUUGUUGAACAAGGUAGCUAGAUGAUCCUUAGCACGUACGAGCUUUUAGACGAACACAUGUGCAAGAUCAGUUUUCAUCUUUUAAGUUGCCACCUCUUUGUAGCUCCAGAAGAAAACUCUACCAGCUUUGAUUUGAUAUAAGGAUCUUCCGAUUAGAUAUGCAGGGAUUCGAAUCGUGUCUGAUUAGAAGCUCAGAUCGUCAACGUCGAGUCUCCACCAAUCGAAUUUAUUAUUACCUUACGGCAGAUCGGGCCAGUGCUACAUCAAGUGAUAUCAGGAUUCUAGAUUACCCAUGAGGUAUACUAUCGUGUUUCCCCUUUAUCUAAAGUUCGUGUCCAACACCUAUAGUCCACAAAAAGCCCAAAAAUAUUUACACUUUCC